Molecule: small RNA, 133 nt
Filed under: Paenibacillus beijingensis
Lineage: Bacteria; Bacillati; Bacillota; Bacilli; Caryophanales; Paenibacillaceae
Description: Guanidine-I sequence
Rfam family: Guanidine-I riboswitch aptamer
About the family: This family represents a conserved RNA structure found upstream of the ykkC and yxkD genes in Bacillus subtilis and related genes in other bacteria. The function of this family is unclear although it has been suggested that it may function to switch on efflux pumps and detoxification systems in response to harmful environmental molecules.
Source: Rfam by way of RNAcentral
ACGACAACUAUCUAGGGUUCCGCUCGGCUUCCGUUCAUAUGGUUUCUGAGGACUGGUCCAAGAGAUAGGCUACGGCAGAUGGCGCGGUAACCGCAGCUGCUGUAUGACACGGAAGGACAAAAGCCUGGGAGAU